Molecule: long non-coding RNA, 3399 nt
Organism: Canis lupus familiaris (dog)
Lineage: Eukaryota; Metazoa; Chordata; Mammalia; Carnivora; Canidae
Exons: 5
Source: RefSeq, a predicted model, not a curated record
UUCAGAUAUUCUCUAAAUGUCAUUGCUUCCAAAAUCCCUUCCCAACCACUCUUUGAAAAGUAGACCUGUACCCGGUCCUUGUCAAUCACACCAUCUGGUUUUCCUCUCAUAGCAACUAUCAACAUCUGAAGUACUGGGCUGCAGAUGUGACUAGCAUCUCAUUGCCUUCUUUUGUCUUCUCAACUCCAGGACCCACAAAGGGGGCAGUGUCUAUCUAGUUCACCAGUCUGUCCCCAAUACUAGUAGGUGACUGGCACACACUGUGUGAUGUUAGGAACAUUCCCUAGCUGCAUAUUUAAAGAAAGAGGAAAACCAAAGAGGAAGAGAUGACUAUAAAUCACUGCAUGCAGUGCCUAUGACAGAAUUCUGGAAGACCACUGAUGCUCUUCUGGACAAGUGACAAAUUCUACAAAUCUAUGAUUACCUUACCACCUGGACCAAACUCUUACCAUUCUGAUUUUCUCCCUUCCAGAUACCAUCUACUACCCGACAAACUGGAGGAAUUCAGAGACUGUGUAGGACACAUUGACUCCAUUCAUUCUCCAACACAAAGUGCCUGAAUCUGUUUCCGGGAGGAGAAAAGAGAAGAGGAGAAGAAUUCAAAGAAGGGCAACUGCUGAAAGAACUUAAAAUUUUUAAAACUAUAAAACAGCACAUGCUCAUUGUACCUGUUUUAGAUAAAACAGAAAAGUAUAAAAAGCAACACGCUCAAUACUUAACACUAAAUACUAAAAUGUUGUGGGCAUCUAUUAUUUAUCUACUCAGCCUCUCAUCCUUAUUUUUCCCUCCUGCCUUGGGAAACUGAGCCUUCAUUUUCUCUGCUAGUCUCUUUUCGUACUCUAACAUUAUGGUUUCCAUGGAAACUUCCACUGUGUUCCAUGCUUCCUUAUACCUCUUGUGCUGCCCCCUACAGGCCACAGGGGAUUGGUUCAGGAGGAGCGCCUGACCCAACAUCAGCUAAUCACAGCUCUUCUCUUGGAUUUUUAAAUGUGAGGUCAGAAAGAGCAUCUGUCUUCUUCUAGGAGCAGAAAGUAUGAGGCAAAACAAAACAAAACAAAUAAAAAAAUACUCAAUACUUCUAUUUCUACAGGAAUGUUGACAGAGCUUCAUGUGAAUGAAAUUUGGAUCCAUCCAUCUGUCUUGUUCCUGGAACCAAAGUACUUUGGGGUAGAAGAAAGUGGAUUUCCUAAAAGGGCCAUAUCAACUAGAGCCAAGAAACAUCUCUUCUUAAGACUUGCUAAUCAGAAGAAAUGAGCAGUUCAUGAUCAGCUUGCAUGAGUAAUAAUCUGUUGUGUUACCACCCCUCUGAAACUGGAUCCAGGGAGCAUUGGAUUUAUUCUUCUGAAUCCCUGGAAAAGACUGAGCUUCUGCCCCAGCUGGGUCAAUGUGCAUGCAGCUUGGGGUGAGUCCCCUUCCCUCCCAGGCCUUAAUUUUCUUAUUUGUGAAAAGGAGAGUUUCCCCCUGUCCAUGCCAGCACCCUUUGGUUCUGAUGUCCUAUGGUUUUAUGAAACUUAAUUAGAAACAGAAAAGAGAUGCAGGAGAAAUUCUUUUAGUCCGUGGAUACCAAGAGGGUACUGCUGAUACUUGCUGGCUGUACACUUGCAGGAGAAAUUCUUCUAGUCCGUGGAUAUCAAGAUGGUACUGCUGACACUUGCUGGCUGUUUUGGGCUGAAAUAUUAUAUUCAUUUAAAAAACAACAAUAACACUGCAUUUAAACAGCUAUUGCAGGAUUUCUGCCUCUCCACUGUUUGGACUGGGACUGGUGUUUAUGACCCAUGUGGAUAUUUUUGCACUAGAGACCCUGGUUAUAGCAGAAAGGAUUCUGGCCCCAUGUCCUGCAGAGAAGCAUUAACUCAUUCCACUUUGCCCACAAUGCUCUCUGGCCCCUGUCACCAGGCCUUCCGAGGGUUGUGAUCUUUAAUUCCAAAGCCAGAAUGUUUUCUAGCUGGUGUUUCUGAACUGUAUAUAAUGUUACUUAUUUAAAAAAAAAGGAAAAAAAAAGAAAAAUUAUUUAAAAUGCUUAUGAGAGAGUUGGGGGUGGGUGUGGGUAGAGGAGUGGCGGGUGCUAUUCAUUAGAAUUCCUAUAGAGUAAUCAGAUCUUUUCAUUCCAAAGGGUGUUAUUGCCUGGGAAUUAAUAUUAGAUCUGAUUUUGAAAUAAGCCUAAUGAUGAUGACUUUUGGAGGGUAUAUAUAUUUUUUUGCUAUAUUUGCAUAAAGCCCUUUUCUCAGCUUGGCAUAUGGAAGUUAAAAACAUGAGUUCUGUCCUUAAAAUUCUUGUUGGCAUAUUAUCCAGCAGAAAAGGUAAUUACUUGCAGGGACCACAGUUAGGAAGGCUAACUUAAUGUCCUUUGAAAUGUUGCUUUUGAAAUUAAAUGGUCUUCUAGGUGUGGAAGGCCAUUGGCUAGUUGGCGGUGGGAGGGCUCAGAAGCCCUGGCUGUCUAGAGCCUUUAGAGCUUUCCUGGAGACUGAUGCUGGAUGCCAUAGAGAGGUCAGCUGGGCAUAGUACAUUUCCACAGGCCUUUCUCUCUCAUCUUCUGAGCUGCACCAUCACCUCUGAUAUUUUCUGAUUCCCCAUCACUGUCCACAGUGUAAAGUUAGUGCACACACAAUAUGGUGUUUUAUCCUAUAUUUGUAACCUAUUGCUGUAUAACAAAUUACCCAGAAUAUAGUGACUUCAAAUAACAAACAUUGUUUAUCUCAGCUUCUGUGGGUCAGCAAUUUGGGAGCAAUUUAAAUAGGUGUUUCUGGCUCAGAGUCUCUCUUGACCCUCAUUUUUCCCCUUUUUCGUUGUACACAGUUUUCUCUCUUCUUAUAGAGCUUUCCCUUAGCUUUUCUUUAUCAACGGGCAAACUCCUAUACAUCUUACAAAACUCAGAUUGAAUAAUCCAUCCUUUUAUUUUUUCCAAUCGCUCUGAGUAGAAAUUGGCUUCUACCUCCCAUGACAUUUGGAAAUCCUUCUAUUAAAAUGAGAUCCUCUGAUUUUUUUUAAUGUGUGUGUGCAUGAUUUCUAGAUGUGAAGUGUCCAAUAUGAUAGACAGUAGCCACAUGUGACUAUUUAAAUAUAAAUUUAAAUGAAUGGAAAUAAAAAUAAAAUAAUAAAAUCAGCUAGCUCCUCAGUCACACAAGCCAUAUUUUAAGUGCCUGCUAACCACACAUGGCUGAUGGCUACUGUGUUGGACAGUGUAGAAAACUCUUACAUCAUUGUAGAUAGUUCUCUUGGGAGCAUGGCCUAGUGUGUUAUCUCUUUCAAAUCUGGGAUCCUUUCUUCAUCUAAAAAACAGGUAUUUUGUAAGGGUUUUUUUGUUUCUGUUUUGUUUUGUUUUGUUUUUUGGUCUAAAGUAUUAAGUAUUUGACCUGUUCACUUUUGUAUUGCCUGUGUCUGACUUAGCGUUUAGUUGAA